UACGUAGGGGGCAAGCGUUAUCCGGAUUUACUGGGUGUAAAGGGGGCGCAGACGGCCAUGGCAAGCCCGGUGUGAAAGGCCGGGGCCCAACCCCGGGACCGCUCUGGAAACUGCCCGGCUGGAGUGCGGGAGAGGUAAGCGGAAUUCCUAGUGUAGCGGUGAAAUGCGUAGAUAUUAGGAGGAACACCAGCGGCGAAGGCGGCUUACUGGACCGUGACUGACGUUGAGGCUCGAAAGCGUGGGGAGCAAACAGG
Molecule: ribosomal RNA, 254 nt
Filed under: uncultured Eubacteriales bacterium
Lineage: Bacteria; Bacillati; Bacillota; Clostridia; Eubacteriales
Description: uncultured Clostridiales bacterium partial 16S ribosomal RNA
Rfam family: Bacterial small subunit ribosomal RNA
Source: RNAcentral